CCCACGAGUUCCGUGCCGCAGCAAACGCAUUAAGUGCCCCGCCUGGGGAGUACGGCCGCAAGGCUAAAACUCAAAGAAAUUGACGGGGGCCCGCACAAGCGGCGGAGCAUGCGGAUUAAUUCGAUGCAACGCGAAGAACCUUACCAAGGCUUGACAUACACCGGAAACUUCCAGAGAUGGUUGCCCCGCAAGGUCGGUGUACAGGUGGUGCAUGGUUGUCGUCAGCUCGUGUCGUGAGAUGUUGGGUUAAGUCCCGCAACGAGCGCAACCCUCGUCCUAUGUUGCCAGCGGGUUAUGCCGGGGACUCAUAGGAGACUGCCGGGGUCAACUCGGAGGAAGGUGGGGAUGACGUCAAAUCAUCAUGCCCCUUAUGUCUUGGGCUUCACGCAUGCUACAAUGGCCGGUACAAAGGGCUGCGAUACCGCGAGGUGGAGCGAAUCCCAAAAAGCCGGUCUCAGUUCGGAUUGGGGUCUGCAACUCGACCCCAUGAAGUCGGAGUCGCUAGUAAUCGCAGAUCAGCAACGCUGCGGUGAAUACGUUCCCGGGCCUUGUACACACCGCCCGUCAAGUCACGAAAGUCGGUAACACCCGAAGCCGGUGGCCCAACCCUUGUGGGGGGAGCCGUCGAAGGUGGGACUGGCGAUUGGGACUAAGUC
This 656-nucleotide ribosomal RNA is filed under the name Cellulomonas sp. DJM1F2. RNAcentral describes it as "bacterial SSU rRNA". It matches the Rfam family "Bacterial small subunit ribosomal RNA", at positions 831 to 1487 of the family's 1533-position model. The record is from RNAcentral. Lineage: Bacteria; Bacillati; Actinomycetota; Actinomycetes; Micrococcales; Cellulomonadaceae.